AGAGAUUUAGCAAGGGAAUUAUUUUUUAAUCCAUAGUUCUAAACAUGUCACAUGUGACCUCAUUUUUCAGAGGUAAAUUUUAAUACCUCAAAGGCUAAUAAUUUGAAGUAAAUAUUUGGUACAAUAUGUAGUUUGCCUUCUUAAAGCAUUGCUUCAGUGGGAUAUAUUUUCAUUAUAAAAGGUUUCGUGUUAGUAGAAGUUUUGAAAAUAAUAAUAACACAUUUUGAAUUAUAGUAUGAAACAUUGUUCUAUUAAUCAAUGGAUAAUCACCCACAUAUUUUGCUAAUUUGUUUUUUAAUUAGAAAACAGCAAAUCUGUUAAGUAUAUAACAAGUAAUUAAGAUCAUCUUAUUUUUGGUGUAGAGUCUUUUUAUAGUAUAACAUAACUGAGUGUUAAUGAUUCAGAGAUUCAUUAGUGACACAUUUGUGAUUUGUGACCUGUCCUCUGGGGAGGACAAGAUACAAGUCUUGUUAACUGUUAACUGUUAGACAGUUUCUGCACAUAGAUUACUGCCAUGUUAUUAGAAUUGUGCAUGAUAAGAGGAAUUGAAAUAGUGUUCUUAAUUCUGUUUUCGUACUAUUUUUUGCUAUCUGAAGCUAACACAGACAGUAAUGAAAACUGUAGUUUGCAAAAUGGGUUCUAAAAUAAAAACUUAAUUUGAUAUAUACAAAACAAUAAUUAAAUAAAAAGAGGCUGUGAAUUUGAAAGAGUAGGGGAAAAAUACAUGAAAGAUAUCAGAGGGAAGAAAAGAAAUAAUGCUAUUAUAACCUCAAAAAAUAAAAAAAA
Molecule: long non-coding RNA, 786 nt
Filed under: Rattus norvegicus (Norway rat)
Lineage: Eukaryota; Metazoa; Chordata; Mammalia; Rodentia; Muridae
Description: long non-coding RNA NONRATT008401
Source: RNAcentral